Molecule: ribosomal RNA, 468 nt
Filed under: uncultured bacterium
Lineage: Bacteria
Description: partial 16S ribosomal RNA
Rfam family: Bacterial small subunit ribosomal RNA
Source: RNAcentral
GACGAACGCUGGCGGCGUGCUUAACACAUGCAAGUCGAACGGAAAGGCCCUUCGGGGUUGGGGUGCGCGAAUGGGGAACGUGUGAGGAACACGUGAGGAACCUGCCCUUGACUUUGGGAUAACUUCAGGAAACUGGGGCUAAUACCGGAUAGGAGCUCCUUCUUCAUGGUGGGAGUGGGAAAGUGUCGGCGGUUGGGGAUGGGCUCGCUGCUUAUCAGCUUGGUGGUGGGGUAAUGGCUUACCAAGGCUGUGACGGGUAGCCGGCCUGUGAGGGUGACCGGCCACAUUGGGACUGAGAUACGGCCCAGACUCCUACGGGAGGCAGCAGUGGGGAAUAUUGCACAAUGGGCGGAAGCCUGAUGCAGCGACGCCGCGUGCGGGAUGACGGCCUUCGGGUUGUAAACCGCUUUCGACUGUGACGAAGCGUGAGUGACGGUAAUGAGAAAAGAAGCACCGGCUAACUACGUG